GAUGAACGCUGGCGGCGUGCCUAAUACAUGCAAGUCGAGCGAACGGACGAGAAGCUUGCUUUUCUGAUGUUAGCGGCGGACGGGUGAGUAACACGUGGAUAACCUACCUAUAAGACUGGGAUAACUUCGGGAAACCGGAGCUAAUACCGGAUAAUAUUUUGAACCGCAUGGUUCAAAAGUGAAAGACGGUCUUGCUGUAACUUAUAGAUGGAUCCGCGCUGCAUUAGCUAGUUGGUAAGGUAACGGCUUACCAAGGCAACGAUGCAUAGCCGACCUGAGAGAGUGAUCGGCCACACUGUAACUUAGACACGGUCCAGACUCCUACGGAAGGCAGCAGUAGGGAAUCUUCCGCAAUGGGCGAAAGCCUGACGGAGCAACGCCGCGUGAGUGAUGAAGGUCUUCGGAUCGUAAAACUCUGUUAUUAGGGAAGAACAUAUGUGUAAGUAACUGUGCACAUCUUGACGGUACCUAAUCAGAAAGCCACGGCUAACUACGUG
This 497-nucleotide ribosomal RNA is filed under the name uncultured bacterium. Its description in RNAcentral is "partial 16S ribosomal RNA". It matches the Rfam family "Bacterial small subunit ribosomal RNA", at positions 28 to 507 of the family's 1533-position model. The record is from RNAcentral.